GCCAAUGUGGUACAAUGGUUUGUGCACUGGACUAUGACUCUGGAGACCAGGGUUCGAAUUCCUGAUCAGGCA
This is a non-coding RNA of Phrynosoma platyrhinos (Desert horned lizard), 72 nucleotides long. The record is from the annotation of a GenBank genome assembly. NCBI's taxonomy places the organism in Eukaryota, Metazoa, Chordata, Lepidosauria, Squamata, Phrynosomatidae.